ACUGCAGGAAAACAGGACACAAUGUACUGCGAGCGAGGAAAAGAACGCGGCCGAACCUUUCCUAUCUCUUGGUGGGCUCUCUACCUCUCAAACCCUAUUUUCUCUCAUCCCACUCUUCCCGGCGGCGGAGGCUACUGAGAGUAGCACGGAGCGGGCAGCCGACGACGAAGAGCUGGGAGAAAUGGAGGCGAGGAACGGCGAGAUCUGAAUGGCGGCGGGGAACGGCAAGCUCGUGAGUGGCGGCGGGGAACGGCGGGCGUGGUUGGCUUGGAUCACGAUGCAGGUACGUCUUAUCGGCGAGCAGUGUGGCGGCGGCAACAAAGGUACCAGCGAUGGCUCGCUUCCGCCUGCGCAGUGUGGUUGCAGCAGCAGCGCAGUUCAUGGUUUGUCAGCUGUCGUCGUCGCCGGCGCGGGACACAGUACCACUAUUUUUCAGCGACGCGAAGCUUCAGAAGCAGAGGUUUGUGGCAGAUUGAAUCGAUGGAUCAGACUUCAGCGGCAGAGGUGGGUGCCAAAUUGAACUACAAUAUCUCCUUGAUGGGUGGCUGGUGUUCCAAUGUAUUGUUUCUAUGAAAGAUGCAAGUUCUAGGCAAAUGCAUUGCGAGAUGCUGAUAAUAACCAUUUUUCAUUGGUCUCUCAGAGCUGUCUACCACAGCGUAACUUUGAUUAUGUAUAUAGUUAUCUCAUGGAGACAUGGAAACAAACAUCAACUUUGUUGGCUCGUUAGUGAAUUUCCUGAAGGGUUUAUUGUUACAGAUGAUUCUCUAUGGAAGCAAGCUUUUUCUACUUAAAGUUGAACAAUUGUAUGACUGAGGACUUGUUGUUCCCAUCUUAUUCAUAAUGAUUACAAACAUCAUAUCAGCACAUUGACAUGCCAUUUUUAUUUCAGUUUCGACGAUCCUUAUUACAUGGAGCAGGUAGAUACUUUGACUCUAUGUUACCUGAAAUUGUCAAGAGAGAUUGUAGAAAGGUGCAUACGUGUCUUUUUUUCUUUCAGUUUAUGAUGCGGCUACCCUAAUUAUCGCCCUUUUCCUACAUUUGGUAGUUCGGUUGGCCCUCAUCCAUUCAUCCAUUUAUACCAGAUAACCAUUACCACAUGUACUUUUAUUUAUCAGAAUCAGCUCGCAUUAGCUAAAAUAUCAUGGUAUGCUGCUAUUAUUAGAUUAGCCCCUUCCCUUUAAAACACCAAUUUGCAAAUUGAUUUUUUGUCUGGAGAUCUAUCUGUGUUGCCCUCCUUCAGAUCUUGUAGAUCAAAGCAAUAUGUUUUCACUUUCAGCACCACAAUACAAUUUUGGAUAUGAUAUUAUCUGGUAAAGAAAUAACAGGAGGCUCAAUUCUUUAGCUAUGAUUCGUGUUGCGUCAUACUGUUAUUGCUCAUUUAUCUCCCUACGUAAGUGUCGCGGUCCUAUAAUUCUAGAUGCUUGAACAUGCACAUUGUUUCUUGCAAAUUUUCUUUUUGAAGUAAUAUAUGUGUUGAGUGACCUUUGCUAGAUGAGAGAGACUAGGUUAUCUGAACGGUUUUUAGAUGGAUUAUUGUAUUUUAUUGCCACGGGCUGGUGGAUGUAGAUAUAGGAUAAGCAAGAAAGUGUUUGCUAGAUAAAGUGUUUGGUAGAUACAGGCUGGUGGAUCAUCAAUUAAUUAUUUCAUAGAAACCAGUAAAGUUCUGACAAGUUGUUAUCCCACUUUGGCAUGUGUUCUUUUGCUUCGCUGCAUGUCUGCAUCUGAAUUGUUUGUGCACUACGCUAAUAUUUUCUGAGCUUAUAACGUUCUUUGUUGGCCAUACGAAACUUGGUUGAGGUCAGACAAGGAUAAGAAUUUAGUGUAUGAAUUAUGCCUUUCAGCCUAUAUGCAAUUAUCAUUGUAUUAAAGAUAUGAUAUUCCACAUUCAUUUCAAAUUUCAUCCCAUUUUACUUUGUAUCUCAACGCAUGCUUAUUUUGUCUCUACACCAUGGACCAUGCCCCUUUCAUCGUGCCAAGGUUUGCCAUCCCGUUGGUUACACUUGUUAUGUUUAGAUACUCAUCAGAUUUUUUUUUUUGUAGAAAUAGAGAGAGCCAUAUUUUUUUAGUUCACACUCACGACUGUUUGCUUUGAUUGCAGGGUCAUCAUUCAACUCCACCGCAGCAUCAACACCUUGCUUUUGCAUGCAAUUUUCACACAACUGAUUUGAGCUGAAGUGAUUGCGUCAUCUUCUUUGUGCAAUUAAAGUGACAUAAUUUCUCCUGUGGAGAGAAGCUUUCAAUUUGAGUGCUUUUACUCUUCUCCUUGAGUCCAUGUCAUUGACAUAGUCGGUUUAUCACACCAGUUGGUAUGUGCACUCCAUUCUCCUCCAUAUUCCAUUACUUGGUUUGAUAUCUUAAUAUGUGAUGUGGUUGAGAAUGUGAGACGGUCAGGCAAUGAGAGAUCAUGGGUUAUUGCCGUUGUUUGCCAAUGUUCUUAUCUCGAUUUGAGACAGCGAGAAACCAUCGAUUGUUUAGAUGCAUCCCUUUCUGUGUUCAUUUAGAUUAGAUUACCCUUUAUUCCCUAUUGUUAUGCUCUAGCAAUACUGUUGAUGGGAAUGACAGCCCCUACAUACCCAGGUGCGCUUUCUAUCUCUACCAUUGGGUACCAAUUAUUGAUUCUUAAUCUGAGAUAAUGUAUCAUUUAGUAUUUGUUUUAUCCCCUUCAAGAAUGUAUCUUUGUCCAUGCACAUAUUUGCUGCUAUGGUGAACUUUCCAAUGUGUUCUGUAUGAUACUAUAACCUAAUCUCUUUUAGUAUUAUCUGUUUUCGAUUAUGCUUUUCCUUUUGUUAUAUUGUUUAAUAAAGUUCUGAAGAUAUUUUGAUAUGAACAAUAAAACCAGUUCUUAGUUAUAAAUCUGUCAAUAGUAAUGCCUGAAAAUUAGAGUUGCUUGCAUUGACACACAUUUGUGCAUUUGUAGUUAUUGCUAUGAUAUGCCACAUCCUUUCUUUAAUUAUCUUAUGUUUUAUAUUAAUGAAAAGAAAGGAACAUGUAUUGACCAUCUUGUACAAGUAUUGCUUCACACAGGAUAGUAAAAUGAAAUAGUAAAGUAAUAGCAUUGCCACUUUGUUACUGCUUCGCCACAUUUGCUGAAACAUAUUAAAUAAGACACUGCAAUUUACAGGAUUGUGACGCAUUCCCUGACUAUGAAAUUAAAAAAUCAUCCUAAGAGCACUGGAGGAACAUCAGCGAGAAUGAAGACUAGGCCAGGGAUUGAAGUGGGCCCUAAAAAACGCAAUAUCAACAGGAAACGGAUGGACCACUUCAGCAAUAUAGGCCACAUGUUGUGCAAAUUUCCUGAGAAGGCUGGGCCAUGGCCGAUAGUCCCGCUGAUGGUCAAGGAGGUGCUUAGUGGUCCUUAUCCUGUUAUUUUUCCUGAGAUCACAUUUCCAUGUGCUCCUUUAUUGCUUUACUAUGUGUCUCUUGCUAUCAACACUGGUCACCUGGAGAAGGGGAAGUAAUUGCAUGUGUUUGGUGAUUUUUGGCUCUACAUGAAAGUUGCACCGCGGAUCAUCUAUUGCAUAUUCCUUUGCUUCAUAUUAUUUCUCUCUCGUCCUGUCAUAUUUUUUUAUUUGACCUUUCAUAGGUUACAUGUUCAUUUUGGAGCGGUGUCGAUGUCAGUGCACACUUGUUCGUGACAUUAUUGUUUUACCUUUGUUUGUCAAUUAUGUCACUCCCUGAAGCUAAUAGUGAUAUGCAUAAUAUAUGGUCAGUACACUGCCUUCCUUAUUUUACACGUUUGCAAAUUUUCUUAUGUAAUUAGCCGCAUGAACCACACCAACCUAUGAUUCUGUAUUUAGGCCAGGCCAAACCAAUGGUAUCUUUAUGGUAUUGGAUUUUGUGUAAGACAUAUCUGUGCUAUCCUACAUGUCAGUUUAA
This is an RNA transcript of Lolium perenne, 3876 nucleotides long. RefSeq lists it as uncharacterized. The record is from RefSeq and is a predicted model, not a curated record. NCBI's taxonomy places the organism in Eukaryota, Viridiplantae, Streptophyta, Magnoliopsida, Poales, Poaceae.